CGGACGGGUGAGUAACGCGUGAGAAUCUGCCUUCAGGAUGGGGAUAACAGCGGGAAACUGCUGCUAAUACCCAAUGUGCCGAGAGGUGAAAGUAUUUCGCCUGAAGAGGAGCUCGCGUCUGAUUAGCUAGUUGGUGUGGUAAGAGCGCACCAAGGCAACGAUCAGUAGCUGGUCUGAGAGGAUGAGCAGCCACACUGGGACUGAGACACGGCCCAGACUCCUACGGGAGGCAGCAGUGGGGAAUUUUCCGCAAUGGGCGAAAGCCUGACGGAGCAAUACCGCGUGAGGGAAGAAGGUUCAAGUAAUUGUAAACCUCUUUUAUCAGGGAAGAAAAAAAUGACGUUACCUGAAGAAAAAGCAUCGGCUAACUCCGUGCCAGCAGCCGCGGUAAUACGGAGGAUGCAAGCGUUAUCCGGAAUUAUUGGGCGUAAAGCGUCCGCAGGUGGUGAAACAAGUCUGCUGUCAAAGACUAGAGCUUAACUCUGGGAAGGCGGUGGAAACUGUAGCACUAGAGACCGGUAGGGGUAGAGGGAAUUCCCAGUGUAGCGGUGAAAUGCGUAGAGAUUGGGAAGAACACCAGUGGCGAAAGCGCUCUACUGGGCCGGAACUGACACUAAGGGACGAAAGCUAGGGGAGCGAAAGGGAUUAGAUACCCCUGUAGUC
This 663-nucleotide ribosomal RNA is filed under the name uncultured cyanobacterium. RNAcentral describes it as "bacterial SSU rRNA". It matches the Rfam family "Bacterial small subunit ribosomal RNA", at positions 99 to 795 of the family's 1533-position model. Lineage: Bacteria; Bacillati; Cyanobacteriota. The record is from RNAcentral.